Molecule: ribosomal RNA, 484 nt
Filed under: uncultured bacterium
Lineage: Bacteria
Description: partial 16S ribosomal RNA
Rfam family: Bacterial small subunit ribosomal RNA
Source: RNAcentral
AUUGAACGCUGGCGGCAGGCCUAACACAUGCAAGUCGAGCGGAUGAAGGGAGCUUGCUCCUGGAUUCAGCGGCGGACGGGUGAGUAAUGCCUAGGAAUCUGCCUGGUAGUGGGGGAUAACGUCCGGAAACGGGCGCUAUUACCGCAUACGUCCGGAGGGAGAAAGUGGGGGAUCUUCGGACCUCACGCUAUCAGAUGAGCCUAGGUCGGAUUAGCUAGUUGGUGGGGUAAAGGCCUACCAAGGCGACGAUCCGUAACUGGUCUGAGAGGAUGAUCAGUCACACUGGAACUGAGACACGGUCCAGACUCCUACGGGAGGCAGCAGUGGGGAAUAUUGGACAAUGGGCGAAAGCCUGAUCCAGCCAUGCCGCGUGUGUGAAGAAGGUCUUCGGAUUGUAAAGCACUUUAAGUUGGGAGGAAGGGCAGUAAGUUAAUACCUUGCUGUUUUGACGUUACCAACAGAAUAAGCACCGGCUAACUUCGUG